RNAcentral lists this ribosomal RNA (511 nucleotides) under uncultured bacterium. Its description in RNAcentral is "bacterial SSU rRNA". It matches the Rfam family "Bacterial small subunit ribosomal RNA", at positions 9 to 514 of the family's 1533-position model. The record is from RNAcentral.
GAGUUUGAUCCUGGCUCAGAUUGAACGCUGGCGGCAGGCCUAACACAUGCAAGUCGAGCGGUAGAGAGAAGCUUGCUUCUCUUGAGAGCGGCGGACGGGUGAGUAAUGCCUAGGAAUCUGCCUGGUAGUGGGGGAUAACGCUCGGAAACGGACGCUAAUACCGCAUACGUCCUACGGGAGAAAGCAGGGGACCUUCGGGCCUUGCGCUAUCCAGAUGAGCCUAGGUCGGAUUAGCUAGUUGGUGAGGUAAUGGCUCACCCAAGGCGACGAUCCGUAACUGGUCUGAGAGGAUGAUCAGUCACACUGGAACUGAGACACGGUCCAGACUCCUACGGGAGGCAGCAGUGGGGAAUAUUGGACAAUGGGCGAAAGCCUGAUCCAGCCAUGCCGCGUGUGUGAAGAAGGUCUUCGGAUUGUAAAGCACUUUAAGUUGGAGAAGGGCAGUAAAUUAAUACUUUGCUGUUUUGACGUUUACCGACAGAAUAAGCACCGGCUAACUCUGUGCCAGCCG